GUUGAUAAGGUUAAGUGAAUAAGGGCGCACGGUGGAUGCCUUGGCACUAGGAGCCGAUGAAGGACGGGACUAACACCGAUAUGCUUUGGGGAGCUGUACGUAAGCUAUGAUCCAGAGAUUUCCGAAUGGGGGAACCCAACAUCUUUAAUAGGAUGUUACGAUUGUGUGAAUACAUAGCACAUUCGAGGUAGACGCAGAGAACUGAAACAUCUAAGUACCUGCAGGAAGAGAAAGAAAAUUCGAUUCCCUGAGUAGCGGCGAGCGAAACGGGAAAAGCCCAAACCAGCAAGCUUGCUUGUUGGGGUUGUAGGACUCCAAUAUGGUAGUUCUUUCAGAUAGUCGAAUGACUUGGAAAAGUCAGUCAAAGAGGGUAAAAACCCCGUAGACGAAAUGUGGAAGACACCUAGGAGGAUCCUGAGUACGGCGGAACACGAGAAAUUCCGUCGGAAUCCGGGAGGACCAUCUCCCAAGGCUAAAUACUCCCUAGUGACCGAUAGUGAACCAGUACCGUGAGGGAAAGGUGAAAAGCACCCCGGAAGGGGAGUGAAAUAGAACCUGAAACCGUGUGCCUACAACAAGUCAAAGCCCGUUAAUGGGUGAUGGCGUGCCUUUUGUAGAAUGAACCGGCGAGUUACGAUUGCAUGCGAGGUUAAGUUGAAGAGACGGAGCCGCAGCGAAAGCGAGUCUGAAUAGGGCGUUUGAGUAUGUAGUCGUAGACCCGAAACCAUGUGAUCUACCCAUGUCCAGGUUGAAGGUGCGGUAAAACGCACUGGAGGACCGAACCCACGUACGUUGAAAAGUGCGGGGAUGAGGUGUGGGUAGCGGAGAAAUUCCAAACGAACUUGGAGAUAGCUGGUUCUCUCCGAAAUAGCUUUAGGGCUAGCCUCGGAAUUGAGAAUGAUGGAGGUAGAGCACUGUUUGGACUAGGGGCCCAUCUCGGGUUACCGAAUUCAGAUAAACUCCGAAUGCCAUUCAUUCAUAUCCGGGAGUCAGACUGUGAGUGAUAAGAUCCAUAGUCGAAAGGGAAACAGCCCAGACCACCAGCUAAGGUCCCAAAAUAUAUGUUAAGUGGAAAAGGAUGUGGGGUUGCACAGACAACUAGGAUGUUGGCUUAGAAGCAGCCACCAUUUAAAGAGUGCGUAAUAGCUCACUAGUCGAGUGACCCUGCGCCGAAAAUGUACCGGGGCUAAACAUAUUACCGAAGCUGUGGAGUACACCUUUAGGUGUAUUGGUAGGAGAGCGUUCUAAGGGCGUUGAAGGCAGAUCGUGAGGACUGCUGGAGCGCUUAGAAGUGAGAAUGCCGGUAUGAGUAGCGAAAGACAGGUGAGAAUCCUGUCCACCGAAUGACUAAGGUUUCCUGGGGAAGGCUCGUCCGCCCAGGGUUAGUCGGGACCUAAGCCGAGGCCGACAGGCGUAGGCGAUGGAUAACAGGUUGAUAUUCCUGUACCCGUUGUUUUUGUUUGAGCAAUGGAGGGACGCAGGAGGCUAAGGAAUGCAGACGAUCGGAAAUGUCUGUCCAAGCAGUAAGUCUGAAGAGGAGUCAAAUGCUUCUUUUCUUAAGGACAAGCUGUGAUGGGGAGGGAAAUAAUAGUACCGAAGUUCCUGAUGUCACACUGCCGAGAAAAGCUUCUAGUGAGAAAACAGCGGCCCGUACCGCAAACCGACACAGGUAGUCGAGGAGAGAAUCCUAAGGUGAGCGAGAGAACUCUCGUUAAGGAACUCGGCAAAAUGACCCCGUAACUUCGGGAGAAGGGGUGCUGAUCAUACGAUCAGCCGCAGUGAAUAGGCCCAAGCGACUGUUUAUCAAAAACACAGGUCUCUGCAAAAUCGUAAGAUGAAGUAUAGGGGCUGACGCCUGCCCGGUGCUGGAAGGUUAAGAGGAGUGCUUAGCGCAAGCGAAGGUACGAAUUGAAGCCCCAGUAAACGGCGGCCGUAACUAUAACGGUCCUAAGGUAGCGAAAUUCCUUGUCGGGUAAGUUCCGACCCGCACGAAAGGCGUAACGAUUUGGGCACUGUCUCAACGAGAGACUCGGUGAAAUUUUAGUACCUGUGAAGAUGCAGGUUACCCGCGACAGGACGGAAAGACCCCAUGGAGCUUUACUGUAGUUUGAUAUUGAGUGUCUGUACCGCAUGUACAGGAUAGGUAGGAGCCGUAGAAAUCGGAACGCUAGUUUCGAUGGAGGCGCUGGUGGGAUACUACCCCUGCG
RNAcentral lists this ribosomal RNA (2207 nucleotides) under Enterococcus faecium. Its description in RNAcentral is "partial 23S ribosomal RNA". It matches the Rfam family "Bacterial large subunit ribosomal RNA", at positions 1 to 2210 of the family's 2925-position model. Lineage: Bacteria; Bacillati; Bacillota; Bacilli; Lactobacillales; Enterococcaceae. The record is from RNAcentral.